This 454-nucleotide ribosomal RNA is filed under the name uncultured cyanobacterium. RNAcentral's name for it is "bacterial SSU rRNA". It matches the Rfam family "Bacterial small subunit ribosomal RNA", at positions 341 to 810 of the family's 1533-position model. Lineage: Bacteria; Bacillati; Cyanobacteriota. The record is from RNAcentral.
AUUGUAUCCACGAUUGGGGAAUUUUCCGCAAUGGGCGAAAGCCUGACGGAGCAAUACCGCGUGAGGGAGGAAGGCUCUUGGGUCGUAAACCUCUUUUCUCAAGGAAGAAGAUCUGACGGUACCUGAGGAAUCAGCAUCGGCUAACUCCGUGCCAGCAGCCGCGGUAAUACGGAGGAUGCAAGCGUUAUCCGGAAUGAUUGGGCGUAAAGCGUCCGUAGGUGGCUAUUCAAGUCUGCUGUUAAAGCGCAGGGCUUAACCCUGUAAAGGCGGUGGAAACUGGAGAGCUAGAGUGUGGUAGGGGUAGAGGGAAUUCCCGGUGUAGCGGUGAAAUGCGUAGAGAUCGGGAAGAACACCAGUGGCGAAAGCGCUCUACUGGGCCACAACUGACACUGAUGGACGAAAGCUAGGGGAGCGAAUGGGAUUAGAUACCCCAGUAGUCAAUCGUGGAUACAAU